This is a long non-coding RNA of Syngnathus typhle (broad-nosed pipefish), 812 nucleotides long. RefSeq lists it as uncharacterized. The transcript has 4 exons. Lineage: Eukaryota; Metazoa; Chordata; Actinopteri; Syngnathiformes; Syngnathidae. The record is from RefSeq and is a predicted model, not a curated record.
GGAUUCUCAUUGGUCGAGCGUUUGAAAAAUAAUCGUAAACGUCACAUAAAUCGUGAACGUUAUUUUUAACCCCCCAAAACAAAACAAUAAAAACAGAAACCAAACGCCGUUAUUUACUGUAUGACAGUGAAUCGAACCGAGAAACUUUAACCAAGACAAAUACAUCAGAGAGAAGCAGUAAUGCUGAGAAAACUCGCUCGUUUGCUUUUUGGGGGAGAGAACUCAGAGAAGGACGCCCCUGAGGAAGUCAAGUCCGAAGAAGUGCUGGAAGAGGAAUGGCUUGUAGUUAGUCGUCAAGAAGGCAGUUCUGCUGAUAUCCCGAAUAUGGAGGCCUCCGCUAUAUUAUCAGACUCUGCUCCCAUUGCAACAACUAUUCCCAAACUAGAAAUAAGUUUAACAGCUCCAGCCAGUGACCAGUCCACAAUUGAAAGCAAAAAAAAUGCUAUCUCAGCAUUACUUUCUCCUCCCAAAGUCCUGCACAAGGUCACAAAGUCAACCUGUAUGCAAAAAUCCAGCACAUCCCACCACCCCAUGUCCCGAAACACUAUGCAGCGACACAAUCGUGUUCGGCAUGGGUUCCAGCAUCAUUCAUUCCCACUUCAACAACCAUCACAUCGCAACUACAGUCACUAAAAUGCUGCAAGAGCAACUAGUAAUGCAUUCACAGAGCUGAUACUGAUAUAGCUGCAUGCACUAUUUUCAUGGAUGCAAAUAUCCAUCCAAAUUGUAGCUGCAAAAGGUUUGAUAUGUUCUACUAUUUUUUUACUUGCAUGUAUUUGACUAACCACAGCAAUAAAAUACAACACAGUGCA